GUGGGGGAAAAUUAAUAUGAAAAUUUAUUAAUAAAAAUAAUUUUAAUAAAAUAUGAUAAUGGGGGUUAAAGUAUUUUAUAAAAAAAAAAUUAUUUAAUUUAUAGUAAAUUAGUAUUGUGAAAGAAAUUUGAAAUAUUUGAAAUAAAAAUUAUAAAAAAAGUAAAUUUUAAUUAUUGUAUCUUGUGUAUCAGAGUUUAUUAAUUUAAAAUUUUUAUAAAAAAAAAAAUUCUCGAAUUUAAAAGAGUUAAUUAAAUAAAAAAUUUAUUGUAGCAAAAAUAUUUUUUAUAUUUAAUUAGAAAUGAAACGUUAAUCGUUUUUAAAAAUAUCUAGUUUUUUUAGAAAAAAAUUUAAUUUUAAAUUAGUUUAAUUAAAAAUUUUAUUAAAAAAUUUUUUAAAUAAUUAAAUUUAAUAUUUUAAGGGAUAAGCUUUAAUUUAAAUUUUUAUAAGAAAUUUAAUUUUAUUUUGAAAAUUUUAAAAUUUAUAUUGUUUAAAAAUUAUAAUUUUUUAUAAAUAAUUUCAUUAAAAAUAAAAUUUAAUUAAUAUUUAAAUUUUUAUAAAAAAAUAAAAAUUAAUAAAAAAUUUUUAGUUAUAAUGAUAAAAUUAGUAUAUGUAAUAAAAUUAAUUAGAAUUAUAUCUAAAUAUAAAUGUAAAAUUAAUUAUAAGGAAUUCGGCAAAAUUUUAUAUUCACUUGUUUAUCAAAAACAUGUCUUUUUGAAAUAAUUUAAAGUCUAAUCUGCCCACUGAUGAAAAUUAAAGGGCUGCAGUAUUUUGACUGUACAAAGGUAGCAUAAUCAUUAGUCUCUUAAUUGGUGACUUGUAUGAAAGAUUGGAUGAGAUAUAAGCUGUCUUAUUAUUAUUUAUGGAAUUUAAUUUUUUAAUUAAAAAGUUAAAAUAUUUUUAAAAGACGAGAAGACCCUAUAGAGUUUUAUAUAAUUUAUUAAUUAUAAAUUUUUUUAUUAAUUUAAAAUUUAGAUCAAUAAGUAUAUUUUAUUGGGGUGAUAGAAAAAUAAAAUUAACUUUUUUUAAUUUAAUAUAUAUAUAUAAACAUUAAUAAGUGAAUAAAUGAUCCAUGAUUUAUGAUUAAAAGAUUAAAUUACCUUAGGGAUAACAGCGUAAUUUUUUUUUUUAGUUCAAAUAAAAAUAAAAGUUUGCGACCUCGAUGUUGGAUUAAGGUAAAAUUUAAAUGCAAAAGUUUAAAAUUUUGAUCUGUUCGAUCAUUAAAACCUUACAUGAUCUGAGUUCAAACCGGUGUAAGCCAGGUUGGUUUCUAUCUUUAGAAUAUAAAAAUAUUUUAGUACGAAAGGAUCAAAUAUUUAAAAUAAUUUUAUAAAAAGGAAUUUUAUUAAAAUUUAUUUAUAGG
This 1360-nucleotide ribosomal RNA is filed under the name Cydia pomonella (codling moth). RNAcentral describes it as "1-RNA". The stretch from base 1104 to 1262 matches the Rfam family "Eukaryotic large subunit ribosomal RNA", at positions 2825 to 2984 of the family's 3401-position model. Lineage: Eukaryota; Metazoa; Arthropoda; Insecta; Lepidoptera; Tortricidae. The record is from RNAcentral.